ACCUAGGAAACAGAUGACUAAUACCGGAUAACAACAGAUGAUGCCUAUCAACUGUUUAAAAGAUGGUUCUGCUAUCACUCUUGGGAUGAACCUGCGGUGCAUUGGCUAGUUGGUAGGGGUAACGGGCCUACCAAGGCGAUGAUGCAUAGCCGAGUUGAGAGACUGAUCGGUCACAUUGGGACUGAGACACGGCCCAAACUCCUACGGGAGGCAGCAGUAGGGAAUCUUCCACAAUGGACGCAAGUCUGAUGGAGCAACGCCGCGUGAGUGAAGAAGGGUUUCGGCUCGUAAAGCUCUGUUGUUGGUGAAGAAGGAUAGAGGUAGUAACUGGCCUUUAUUUGACGGUAAUCAACCAGAAAGUCACGGCUAACUACGUGCCAGCAGCCGCGGUAAAU
This 395-nucleotide ribosomal RNA is filed under the name uncultured Lactobacillus sp. Its description in RNAcentral is "bacterial SSU rRNA". It matches the Rfam family "Bacterial small subunit ribosomal RNA", at positions 146 to 525 of the family's 1533-position model. The record is from RNAcentral. Lineage: Bacteria; Bacillati; Bacillota; Bacilli; Lactobacillales; Lactobacillaceae.